RNAcentral lists this microRNA (24 nucleotides) under Corchorus olitorius. RNAcentral describes it as "mtr-miR520". Lineage: Eukaryota; Viridiplantae; Streptophyta; Magnoliopsida; Malvales; Malvaceae. The record is from RNAcentral.
CUUAUAAUUUGGGACGGAGAGAGU